Molecule: non-coding RNA, 18 nt
Filed under: Arabidopsis thaliana (thale cress)
Lineage: Eukaryota; Viridiplantae; Streptophyta; Magnoliopsida; Brassicales; Brassicaceae
Source: RNAcentral
CUUAAACAUAUCUUCAGU